UACGUAGGGGGCGAGCGUUAUCCGGAUUCAUUGGGCGUAAAGCGCGCGUAGGCGGCCAGGCCAGUCGGGGGUUCAAUCCCGGGGCCCAACCCCGGGCCGCCCCCGAUACUGCCUGGCUCGAGUCCCGCAGGGGACGGCGGAACUCCCGGUGUAGCGGUGGAAUGCGCAGAUAUCGGGAGGAACACCGGCGGCGAAGGCGGCCGUCUGGGCGGCGACUGACGCUGAGGCGCGAGAGCCGGGGGAGCGAACA
This 250-nucleotide ribosomal RNA is filed under the name uncultured prokaryote. RNAcentral describes it as "partial 16S ribosomal RNA". It matches the Rfam family "Bacterial small subunit ribosomal RNA", at positions 524 to 774 of the family's 1533-position model. The record is from RNAcentral.